AGGGAGAAGCGCAGGGAACCCUGGUUAGAGUGCGUUUCAGGGGCGCUUGGAAACGCCGCGGGGAGCUAGGAGGCAGCGGGGAUGGCGCAGCCUGGGACAGACAGCAGCUCCCGGCAGGAAGCCGCGGGUUGCUGCCAGGCCUCUUACACCAGGCGGUUCGGAGAUGGGCCCCGCAGCUUUCCAUCCAAUCUCACGUGAAGCGACAGUCAAGGCAGUAGGAGUUUUACGAAGAAACCGAACGUUUU
Molecule: non-coding RNA, 245 nt
Organism: Myotis brandtii (Brandt's bat)
Lineage: Eukaryota; Metazoa; Chordata; Mammalia; Chiroptera; Vespertilionidae
Source: Rfam